Non-coding RNA from Sarcophilus harrisii (Tasmanian devil), 529 nucleotides. The record is from the annotation of a RefSeq genome assembly. NCBI's taxonomy places the organism in Eukaryota, Metazoa, Chordata, Mammalia, Dasyuromorphia, Dasyuridae.
AACCAGCAAAAACCAGUGUCUGCAGCAGCUCUGGGAGAAGAGCUUUUCCUUUGUGUGGCCUUUAUUUGCUAAGCACUGACCUUGUAAAGGCUUAACAAUGGGUUUUGGACUGAUAGGAAUUUUUAUUCUGGCUAUUUUACAAGGUGUUCAUUGUGAUGAUGUUCAGUUGUUAGAGUCUGGGGGUGAUUUGAGACGCCCUGGAGAAUCUCUUCGCCUUUCUUGCAAAGUUUCUGGAUUCACCUUAAGCAGCUAUGGCAUGCACUGGAUCCGCCAGGCUCCAGGGAAGGGGCUGGAAUGGAUCUCAGUUAUUUGGUCUGGUGGUAGUACAGAGUAUGCAGACUCUGUGAAAGGCCGAUUCACCAUCUCCAGGGACAACAGCAAUAGCAUGAUGCACCUGCAAAUGAACUCCCUUAAAGUUGAGGACACAGCCAUGUAUUAUUGUGCAAGAGACACAGUGAGGAAAAGGAGUAUGAGACCAGACAUAAACUUCUUCAUUUACAUAGGCCACAUAUAAAAUUAUUUAGAGAGU